RNAcentral lists this ribosomal RNA (382 nucleotides) under Triticum aestivum (bread wheat). Its description in RNAcentral is "partial small subunit ribosomal RNA". The record is from RNAcentral. Lineage: Eukaryota; Viridiplantae; Streptophyta; Magnoliopsida; Poales; Poaceae.
UCCAACAACUGACGUCUUAGACACCACUAGAUGUGAGACAACCAAGAAAGUAAGUCUCCCACGAUCUCGACGUGAAUUGAACGAUCGUAGUAGCGGAACAAGAAGGACCGUUGCUCACUCCUACCACUCGGUGUUGUGGUGUUCCAAGAUGUUUACCAAGAGUCUCCAAACUGCCGUAUUGUAGCGCGUCAGCUCGUUCAAAACCAGUUACAAAGUACCGAGUUAGUUGCUUACCACAAUUUUGUCUUUUAGAACUUUCGUUCCAUGAGAGUUAAGUAAGGAGAAAACAACGGCCACGAAUAUAGGAACACCUAUAUGUGUAAAUUAUACUGUAUACCACGUCUAGAAUUUACUAAGGAUGGAGCUCGAAGGUAGCUUGUGC